CUGAAUUUGAUGAGAGAGGCCCAAAAUAAAAAUAUAUCCUCCCUCUCAUCGGCUCUACCCCUCUCUUUCCCCAAAUUCCAUUUUCUCAAAUCCCUAAUCUCCCUCUUCUCCACAACCGACAACCCUUCCUCUCCCGACCGGCGGUUCAUCAUUCGUGGUGGAUUUCUCCUUCCUCUUCUCAGCUUUUCUCCACUCCCUUGCUCGUUGAGACCAAAUCCUAAUUGGAAAUGGUUCACGAUCAAUGGGAAAAGGCAGCGACAUCCGCCUAUUGUCGCUCUCUUUCCAUCGCUUCCCGGUUCGCGGCGUACCCGCCGGCCGCCUCCUUCUGUCACUCCACGGCGACCCGGCGCCGUCGACCCUGGCCCUCUCGUCGGUUUGGCUCGAAGUUAGCGAGCUGCUGCUGCCUUUCUCUCGCGGUGGCGAAAACGCCUCAGGCGCUGCUCACGCCGUUCCGCUUCUGGUUGGGCAGCGACACCGCUCUUCGUUGCUGCUCACGCCUCCGUCGAGUCCCUUCACCUGACGAAGUCGCCGCCGGGAACAGUCGGUCCGCUCCCUUAAUUGUAACGGACAACCUCACGGUCUAAGCUAAGUUCUCCUUCUUCUAGUACUUAACUUAAUCGGUUUGAAAUUUCGGCAGCAAAGUGCGAUUUAAGAGUAUUGACUAUGGUUGUUGAUCGAGCUUUGAUCUUGUGAAAUUCUGCCUACUGGAACGAGUUUAAGUUGCUUGUUUCUGAUUUUGAACUAAGAGCAGCUUAUGAUUCUUUUGAUUCCUAACAUGAUGUGCCUCUUUUGAGUAUUUAAUGGUGAGGGUAACGAUGCUCUCUCUUAGUCUAACAUACUGUGAUUUCCUAUCAUGUUAUGUUUCUACAUGUUAACAUGAUUCAUGAUUGAGUUGGAGACAAGGAAGAAGGGGGUGGAGAUUACCUUCCUGCGUUGCUCUGUUUUCCUGUCUCUAACUCAGCCCCUCUCUCACUCCUUAGCUCACCGAUUUGAAUGGUUUGUGGUGAUGAAGGAGGGUGAGGCUGAGGCUAUACUCUAUAUAUAAUGGUGUGUAACUGAAAGCCCGUAAGGUUGUGUAUGUAUGCAGUCGAGCGGGACCCUUAGGUUGUGCAAACCUGGCUGGCCUUCCUGCAGCUUUGCAGGCUGUGUACUCGUGGGAAUUCUGUUUUGGCCGCUGCACUAUGCAGUCCCUUUAACUGCAUUUAACACUUGUAAAUGCUUGAUACUUUGUUCAUUUAUAGGAUUUGUCUCCUGUGGCAGGUGCACAACUGAAUGGCAGGGGUUUGUAAGCAAUAUUCUCGGCAAUGGCAGCUGUGAGGUGGAGGUGCAGGGAGUCUGUUGCUGCCGGCUGGCCUUGUUCUUCUUUUAGCCAAGCUCUUCAUUUUCCUUUGUGAAAGGGACAAGAGGUUGGUCUCCUCAUCUUGCGGCCACCUCGCCCGUUCGGCCCAACGGGCCGUCAAAGAAUCUGGCCGAACCCGUGCUAAGGAGGGGCCCAGAGCUAGUUUUUCUUUCCUCCAUAAUGUAACAGAGUUGUUCUAUUGUAAUUUCUUCUUCAACAUGUAAUAGCUAGUUAGUGUGUAUCUCGUUUACUCAAGAAAUAAACGAAAACUCUCUCGUCUUUCCUCUUUAAA
This is a long non-coding RNA of Salvia splendens (bonfire salvia), 1631 nucleotides long. RefSeq lists it as uncharacterized. The transcript has 2 exons. NCBI's taxonomy places the organism in Eukaryota, Viridiplantae, Streptophyta, Magnoliopsida, Lamiales, Lamiaceae. The record is from RefSeq and is a predicted model, not a curated record.